GUCGCCGUGAAGCGGCUAACUUAAAGUGCGGUUAAACGGGCCGUGAUGGGCCCGCGCGACGGACGGUCGCGAUCGCGGAAUCGGCAGCGCGCGGUGUAGCGGACGGUUCCGCGAUACGUGAGAGCGGUCGACGUUACAGACCUAAGUGGUCUCACCCCGCGGGGUGUUAUCACCUCGUGGGGAGCAGGUUUACGGAUUGAGCCGGAGGACGGCGUCGAGUAUUCCCGACGACGGUGUUGGUCUCGAGAAUCCCCAAGAACGGACGGUUCCUAUUGGCCGAGAAUACCCAGCCGCGGAAACGACGAGUAUUCCCGUCGCAGACGGAGGAUGGGAUCGGCCGAGCAUUCCUAGCCGUUAGGACCGACGAGUAUGCCCGUCGUGAGAUAGUAACAAGAAUGCCUGUUCCCGAGGAAGUGCUUGAGAAUACCCAAGCUAAGGAGCGCCGAGAAUACCCGGCGCAGGAAACAACCGGGCCAGGCAGGAUCGGGGAUAAAUGUAUGCGCGCGCAUGUAUAGCGAAUGGGACGUGAUCACGUGAUUAACCUAAAGAAGAGAACCAAGAAAACGACUGUGACUAUGUGACAACGAUAAGAAGGAUCAGAACGGUCAGAACGGCAAGUUGCAAUUACUGAAAGCUGGAAAGUGAUUAAAGUGAUCAGGCACAAAUUCUGUUUUGACAUACGCUACAUAAUUGGUUUAUGUUCUUGCCUAUUAUGUUAAGCGAGAAUUUAUUAAAACGUUUGGAAGAUCUUAUGUCAUCGCCUUCCUUUUGUUCGAGUCUGUGAGGUUAGGUUAGGUUACCAUACAAACUUGCUUAUUGGUAUGUAUCAAAAGUUACAUACGCUACUUGCAGAUAUAUUCAUUAAAUAUUACAUAUUUUUUUAUUUUUAACUGUUUUUAUUAGUUCUAGAUUAUGUACAAAUAUAAGCUAUAUAUCAGAUAUAGUAAAGUAUCCAUAUAAUAAGAUAUUCUUUUCAUCCUGUUUAUGUUCUUUCAGAGAAUUUUGCAGGAAAGAAUUAUCGGACCAAGAAUUUGCUAGGAAAUUUCCAAGGCUAAAUUGUAAUGUACAAUUUGUGUGUUACACAAAAUAAAAAAGUAGAAGUUUUACAGCCAAUGCAUACAUUGCAAAACCUGACUCAUUUGCUUCAUACCAAAAUUAGUAAUCUCAGAAGUUACAAGACUAAAUAGUAAUGUACUACAUUUGUGCCUUACGCAAAAUACAAAACAAGAAGUUUUGCACCCAAUGCAUACAUUGCAAAAUCUGAUGCAUUUGCUAAAUACUGGAAUUAGAGAUCUUGGAAGAAUUGGACCAAUGGAAGUCAAUUUGUCUGUAAGAGCACAACUUCACAAUCGGUUAGUUCCCGACUACUCAAGAUAUGAAAUGUAGUGAAGAAAAGUAUGUGAUAUAAUGUGAUGUGAUAUUAUAUGAUACGUGAUAUUAUGUGAUAUAUGAUUUUAUGUGAUAUACUCGUAGAAGGACUCGACGAUUAUAUUGUUGCUUAUUUGGAUACGUUAAUUUUUCUUAUUUGCAAGAAACUAACUUUGUAUUGCUUAUAUAAUUUAUGCAUACAUAUAUUCAUUAAAUAUACUUUUAUGCAGAUAUA
Solenopsis invicta (red fire ant) is the source of this 1603-nucleotide long non-coding RNA. RefSeq lists it as uncharacterized. The record is from RefSeq and is a predicted model, not a curated record. NCBI's taxonomy places the organism in Eukaryota, Metazoa, Arthropoda, Insecta, Hymenoptera, Formicidae. The transcript has 3 exons.